This 464-nucleotide ribosomal RNA is filed under the name Vreelandella stevensii. RNAcentral describes it as "partial 16S ribosomal RNA". It matches the Rfam family "Bacterial small subunit ribosomal RNA", at positions 338 to 795 of the family's 1533-position model. The record is from RNAcentral. Lineage: Bacteria; Pseudomonadati; Pseudomonadota; Gammaproteobacteria; Oceanospirillales; Halomonadaceae.
CCUACGGGAGGCUGCAGUGGGGAAUAUUGGACAAUGGGGGCAACCCUGAUCCAGCCAUGCCGCGUGUGUGAAGAAGGCCCUCGGGUUGUAAAGCACUUUCAGUGAGGAAGAACGCCUGUGGUUAAUACCCAUCAGGAAAGACAUCACUCACAGAAGAAGCACCGGCUAACUCCGUGCCAGCAGCCGCGGUAAUACGGAGGGUGCGAGCGUUAAUCGGAAUUACUGGGCGUAAAGCGCGCGUAGGUGGCUUGAUAAGCCGGUUGUGAAAGCCCCGGGCUCAACCUGGGAACGGCAUCCGGAACUGUCAAGCUAGAGUGCAGGAGAGGAAGGUAGAAUUCCCGGUGUAGCGGUGAAAUGCGUAGAGAUCGGGAGGAAUACCAGUGGCGAAGGCGGCCUUCUGGACUGACACUGACACUGAGGUGCGAAAGCGUGGGUAGCAAACAGGAUUAGAUACCCUAGUAGUC